ACAAUGAUAAAAAACAUUGCAAAAGGAAGAUAACAUAUUAAAAAAAAAAAGGCAGAUCUAAAUUUCUAUUUCUUCCUUUUGCGGUUUCUUCCUAUUUGUUUUUUUUGCUUUUUACUUUUUC
RNAcentral lists this non-coding RNA (121 nucleotides) under Protocruzia adhaerens. Lineage: Eukaryota; Ciliophora; Spirotrichea. The record is from RNAcentral.